Molecule: ribosomal RNA, 1234 nt
Filed under: metagenome
Description: bacterial LSU rRNA
Rfam family: Bacterial large subunit ribosomal RNA
Source: RNAcentral
UGAGUACGAGAUGCUACGGCAUCGAAGCAGUCUAUGUCAUACUUCCAAAAGCUUGCACUGUCAUAAACAAAGAAUGCCUGUACCAUAACCGACACAGGUGGGUAGGUAGAGUAUACUAAGGGGCGCGAGAUAACUCUCCCUAAGGAACUCGGCAAAAUGACUCCGUAACUUCGGGAGAAGGAGUGCCUUAUUUCUAAGGUUGCAAUAACAAGAUCCAAGCAACUGUUUACCAAAAACACAGGUCUCCGCUAAGUCGUAAGACGAUGUAUGGGGGCUGACGCCUGCCCAGUGCCAGAAGGUUAAAGAAGUUGGUUAGCAUUAGCGAAGCUGAUAACUGAAGCCCUGGUGAACGGCGGCCGUAACUAUAACGGUCCUAAGGUAGCGAAAUUCCUUGUCGGGUAAGUUCCGACCCGCACGAAAGGCGUAAUGAUUUGGAUACUGUCUCGGAGAGGGGCUCGGUGAAAUAGACUUGUCUGUGAAGAUGCGGACUACCUGCACCUGGACAGAAAGACCCUAUGAAGCUUUACUGUAACUUGAGAUUGAAAUUGGACUUUAUUUGCGCAGUAUAGGUGGGAGGCGUUGAGAAUAAUCUUGCGGGAUUGUUGGAGCCAUCAGUGAGAUACCACUCUUGUAAUGUUAGAUUUCUAACUUUGUAUCAUUAUCUGGUCAAAGAACAGUUUCAGGCGGGCAGUUUGACUGGGGCGGUCGCCUCCCAAAGGGUAACGGAGGCGCACAAAGGUUUCCUCUGAACGGGUAGAAAUCGUAUCUAGAGUGUAAAGGCAUAAGGAAGCUUGACUGUGAGACCUACAAGUCGAGCAGGGACGAAAGUCGGUCUUAGUGAUCUGACGGUGCUGAGUGGAAAGGCCGUCACUCAACGGAUAAAAGUUACUCUAAGGAUAACAGGCUGAUCUCCCCCAAGAGUUCACAUCGACGGGGAGGUUUGGCACCUCGAUGUCGGCUCAUCGCAUCCUGGGGCGGUAGUCCGUCCCAAGGGUUGGGCUGUUCGCCCAUGAAAGCGGUACGCGAGCUGGGUUCAGAACGUCGUGAGACAGUUCGGUCCAUAUCCGGUGUAGGCGUUAGAAUAUUGAGAGGAGCCUUCUCUAGUACGAGAGGACCGAGAAGGACAUACCUCUGGUGUACCAGUUAUCGUGCCAACGGUAAACGCUGGGUAGCUAUGUAUGGAGUGGAUAACCGCUGAAAGCAUCUAAGUGGGAAGCCCACCUCAAGAUAAGUA